This is a long non-coding RNA of Triticum dicoccoides, 2769 nucleotides long. RefSeq lists it as uncharacterized. The record is from RefSeq and is a predicted model, not a curated record. The transcript has 2 exons. NCBI's taxonomy places the organism in Eukaryota, Viridiplantae, Streptophyta, Magnoliopsida, Poales, Poaceae.
CCGCUCUCCCCACGACCACGGAAACCCUAAUCCAUCUCCACCCACAGCCGCCGCAGCUCCUCUCCCUCUCUGUUCCUGAUUCAGAUCCAUGCCCAGCCUCCGCCGGUCCGCCUCCGCGCGGCUGCCACCCCCCUUGAUCUCCCGUGCCGCCAUCCCAACCAUCUCCCGCUCCACCUCCGUCUCUCAUCCUCUAUCAUUCCUCCAUCGCCCCACCCUCUCCCCUUAUGCAGCCUACUCAGAUCCAUGAUGGGGGCACACACUGUCGUAGUGGCGCUCCCGCAUCCGCAUCAAGGUCAGCCCCCUGCUCGUCGUCAUGGGCGCGGUGGUCACGAGGAAGGUGGUUGAGGUCGGCGAGAUGAACGUUGUCGCCUACCCGCUGGCCAGGACCAGGGACGGCUGCCCCGACACUCCGUCUUCUUCACAAUCUGGCGCCGGGAAAGGAGGGGGUCGCCACAGUUUUCUUCGGCACUCCUUGGCCUUUUUCGCAUCGCCACAGGUGACCUCGCUGGACCACUGCUGUGAAGUUCCACUAAAGUUCCAAUUAUUAUUCUAUACGUGGAGGAGAUAGCUGAAGUCGAGCGUGCUGUUGAUGACAUAAAAGGUGUAGAUGAAACAGAGCCUUCUGAAGAAUAGAGGUGAAAAUACAGAAAGGUCAGUCAAAACUACUUCUGUAGUACAACAUAAUUAGCUAGCACUACAAACUAUGGACCCAUCUUUGUCCUGAUGUUCUAUCCUUGAAGGAAAUUGCUUCACACAUGACAAUAGCUGCACGACUUAUGAACGAUGUUCCCUCCCCAACAAUGCUCUUGUGAGCAUGCUCGCUGUUGGCGCUGCCACGACAGAAUCGUGCAAGCAUCGGCCAUGCAGGCAUCGUGUGUAUAGUAGUGUUGAUCCUUAAAUAUCUUUGUUUGUGCUUUUUGUAUCGUCUUAGUGUGUGGGCGCUUGUUUUCAUAUUUUUACUUAAUUUAUUGCUUGCUGCAACACCUAGUUCCUCCUAGUUUGAUAGAGUUUUUUGCUUUGUUCAUGGUGGAUGCAUAAUAUGUAAAAUCUCAAAUGGUAUUUUUAUAGUUACAUGUCUAUUUUGACAAAAUGUUGAUUGCUAACAUUCACUCUACGUACCAAUUACUUUCUACUGUUCCUGAUUGUUCUCGAUUGCUCUGUACCUUUUUUUAUGAGAAAACACCACCCAGUACUAUGUGAUCAUGAAGAUUCUUUGAUUCGGUUGCAAAUCCUUGAAUCUAUCUACUGUUCCUGAUUGUUCUCUAUUGCUCAGUACCUACUUUUUAUGAGAAAACACCACUCAUAAUUACUAUGUGGUCAUGAUGAUUCUCUGAUUCAGUUGCAAAUCCUUGUAUCUAUCUAUCGUUCUUGAUUAUUCUUUAUUGCUCAGUACCUAUUUUUUUAUGAUAAUACACCACUCGGUACUAUGUGGUCAUGAUGACUCUCUGAUUCAGUUGCAAUACGAGUGACAUAACAGCUUGUUUAAAAGACGAAGCUUGCUCAUAUGUUCCAUAAUCUUAAAAUUCUAUAUGGUUAAGAAAAAUAUAUGAAAAUAUAGCUACAAACAAUGAUAGAGAUCACAAAAGUUCGAGCCGAGCAACUCAAGCUCAUAGUGCAGAAUUCAGUUUGAUAUUCUAAAUGUGCGCGGUGCCUCUUAGUAUUAGAUGUGGAGUUUAAUUUAUAGUCGAUGUAUUGACACAACCAAGCGCAUUGUAGGGUAGAAGAUUUCCCAUGGGAAUUCCCAUACCAUGCACAUGAUCGAGUUACAUUCAUUUUAAGCAACCUGUCAACAAUUUUUAGCCAAAAGUAUCUUUAGCCAAAAGUAAAUAGGCUCUGCCUCUGAGGUGAUUGACUAAACUGGGAACCAAAAUCAUGUAGACCAUUGUUUGUGUUUAUUUGAACCAAGUCUAUUGCUUUCACUACAUUGUCACUCUAUCAGUAAAGUUGCUCCUGAUACUACUUUUUACCUGUGUUCAUUUUGAGUUGUUGGCCUUUUAAAGGAAACAUUUUGUAGCAAAUAAUAUUGCUCUGGAUUAUGGUUCAAUGUAUAUAUUUAAUCAUUUUAUGUAGUGGCUAAUUGAAAUAUAUAUCUAUCUGAACAUACAUGUUGACUGAAAUGUGCAUGUUUAAUCAUUUCAUGUUCUUUGUUUCAAUUGGGCAUUUAUUUCAAAUGUCUUGGUAAAGAUUUGGUCUAGCCACGUAUAUCAACUGAUUUAUGCGCUAAUCUGCGAGGAUAGAUAUUCCACCAACCAUCUCACUAUCUCACUACUAAUAUUCAUAUUUGUUUUCUUUCUGUGUGAUACUAAGACGUGCAUAUGUGUUCUUUUUGCAUGCCAAAAUAUUUGUUUGAUUGCUGCUAAAAUGGGCAGUAUGACUGAGAAAUGUGAUGUUGAUGCAUAUUGUUCCUUGUUCCUGUCAUUUUAUUGUGGGCGAGCUAAUAGCUAUCAUUUUAAAUAAAGGUUUGGAUGAAUGUUUCCCAUAAUUUAUUCCUCAUUCUAAUAGUUCUCACAAUUUAUUUUUUGAUGUUCUUUUGCAGGUAAUUGAAGUAGAACAGAAGAUAUUACACUCUAGUUUCGUUUAGAAGGGUAACUCGACUUGGGAUGGAACAGAUGAUACUACACUUAAGACAGGGAACACAACACAGAUUAUAUGUAUCUAAAUGUCUAGUGUAAUUGUGAGAUGUAAUUGUAAUUCCUAUGGUGGUUUGAAUUUUGUAGUUGUGCACUAUAUUAUUGUUUUUCUUUGCUAAAUGGAGAUUCUUUACUUUUA